This 1537-nucleotide ribosomal RNA is filed under the name Staphylococcus devriesei. Its description in RNAcentral is "bacterial SSU rRNA". It matches the Rfam family "Bacterial small subunit ribosomal RNA". Lineage: Bacteria; Bacillati; Bacillota; Bacilli; Caryophanales; Staphylococcaceae. The record is from RNAcentral.
UAGAGUUUGAUCCUGGCUCAGGAUGAACGCUGGCGGCGUGCCUAAUACAUGCAAGUCGAGCGAACAGAUAAGGAGCUUGCUCCUUUGACGUUAGCGGCGGACGGGUGAGUAACACGUGGGUAACCUACCUAUAAGACUGGGAUAACUUCGGGAAACCGGAGCUAAUACCGGAUAAUAUUUCGAACCGCAUGGUUCGAUAGUGAAAGAUGGUUUUGCUAUCACUUAUAGAUGGAUCCGCGCCGUAUUAGCUAGUUGGUAAGGUAACGGCUUACCAAGGCAACGAUACGUAGCCGACCUGAGAGGGUGAUCGGCCACACUGGAACUGAGACACGGUCCAGACUCCUACGGGAGGCAGCAGUAGGGAAUCUUCCGCAAUGGGCGAAAGCCUGACGGAGCAACGCCGCGUGAGUGAUGAAGGUCUUCGGAUCGUAAAACUCUGUUAUUAGGGAAGAACAUACGUGUAAGUAACUAUGCACGUCUUGACGGUACCUAAUCAGAAAGCCACGGCUAACUACGUGCCAGCAGCCGCGGUAAUACGUAGGUGGCAAGCGUUAUCCGGAAUUAUUGGGCGUAAAGCGCGCGUAGGCGGUUUUUUAAGUCUGAUGUGAAAGCCCACGGCUCAACCGUGGAGGGUCAUUGGAAACUGGAAAACUUGAGUGCAGAAGAGGAAAGUGGAAUUCCAUGUGUAGCGGUGAAAUGCGCAGAGAUAUGGAGGAACACCAGUGGCGAAGGCGACUUUCUGGUCUGUAACUGACGCUGAUGUGCGAAAGCGUGGGGAUCAAACAGGAUUAGAUACCCUGGUAGUCCACGCCGUAAACGAUGAGUGCUAAGUGUUAGGGGGUUUCCGCCCCUUAGUGCUGCAGCUAACGCAUUAAGCACUCCGCCUGGGGAGUACGACCGCAAGGUUGAAACUCAAAGGAAUUGACGGGGACCCGCACAAGCGGUGGAGCAUGUGGUUUAAUUCGAAGCAACGCGAAGAACCUUACCAAAUCUUGACAUCCUUUGACCGCUCUAGAGAUAGAGUUUUCCCCUUCGGGGGACAAAGUGACAGGUGGUGCAUGGUUGUCGUCAGCUCGUGUCGUGAGAUGUUGGGUUAAGUCCCGCAACGAGCGCAACCCUUAAACUUAGUUGCCAGCAUUCAGUUGGGCACUCUAAGUUGACUGCCGGUGACAAACCGGAGGAAGGUGGGGAUGACGUCAAAUCAUCAUGCCCCUUAUGAUUUGGGCUACACACGUGCUACAAUGGACAAUACAAAGGGCAGCGAAACCGCGAGGUCAAGCAAAUCCCAUAAAGUUGUUCUCAGUUCGGAUUGUAGUCUGCAACUCGACUACAUGAAGCUGGAAUCGCUAGUAAUCGUAGAUCAGCAUGCUACGGUGAAUACGUUCCCGGGUCUUGUACACACCGCCCGUCACACCACGAGAGUUUGUAACACCCGAAGCCGGUGGAGUAACCAUUUUGGAGCUAGCCGUCGAAGGUGGGACAAAUGAUUGGGGUGAAGUCGUAACAAGGUAGCCGUAUCGGAAGGUGCGGCUGGAUC